UUAGGCACAAAAUUAUACUAAAGUAAUAAAUUCUUAAAAGAGAACACAAAAACUAUCUCUUUCUAGACCCAUCGUCACAAACUAAACACAUACUGUAGUUCUUACUUUGCCCUAGCUACUAGUAUAGAUCUGCAAGGCAAUUCCUAGAACUCUCGAUGUUUUCAUCUGGGUCACAAAGUAAAGAUACAUACUCUGCCCUAGCGGCUAGAGUCGAUCUGCACAACAACUAUCAGAACUCUCAAUGUUUUGAUUUAUGCUUUCUCAAAACAGAGAAAGCACAGGUCAUCGAAGUUUUUCCCUAAUAAUUCUACUCUAUCUACUCGAAUCUCAGGUAUGCCUCUCUUCCACUAAUUAUUUUAUCUUUAGAGAUUAUUGUUUGUUUUAUUUGAGUUACUGUUCUUAUUUUGCACAAUCUGAACAUUUUUCUUUAUUUUUGAACAUUGAAGUAUAUUUAAGUUUCUACUGUAUUAUGUGUCUAAAGAAUCGUAGUUUGAUAAUCAUGUUGUAUACAUAUUGCAUAUCAAUUUUUAAAAAGCUAAUUAUUUCAUGGAUAGAAUAUUUGUUUAUAUAUUCAAUGCUGAUGUUUUGGGACUGAAGUAGCAAUAUGAGUGAAUGAAGGUAUUGUAAACAGUAGUGAAUACUUUUCUUCGUCACUAUAGAUUGAACUCAUUGUGAACCUCUUACUCUUGAAGUAGCUUUUUUUCUCUUGCUCGUGAAGUAGCUCUUUUACUUUACAGAAAAAGGAUCUCAUUUACUUUACAAAAAAAGGAUACAUGCCAACUCCUCUUUUCUAAAUCAUGGGAAGAAUUUGCGAGUGUCAAAGCUAAAUAAAAACUAACUAAAAUUUUCUUAGAAACAUAAAGUACGAGUUCAUCAAGAGCCCUUGUGGAAUUGUUGAAUGUUGUGAAACUGUGAACUCCCAGUCUGGCAGCUCGUUCUCAGAUGGUAAAUUGCCAUACACUAAAGUUUCAAUAAACACUAAGCUUCUAGGGUUAAUGAGUUAGAGUUGUGAUCACCAACCAGUAAGUACAACCAGUGAUCUUGUAUAGUCGCAAGCUAGAGUUUUAGAUGAUCUUAUGUAAUAAAGUAUACUGUUUGAAUUUUUCUUGGGUAUAAAUACUUAGUAUUAUCUCAGGGUAGGCUAGAAGGAAUCUUGUAUACACAUUUCUAUAUUCAACAUCUUAAGUACAAACUAAUGUAUAAUCGUUUAUAUAACUUAAUGUCAUUUAAUUGGACCUUUAGGGACUAGAUUUGGACUUUUAGGAUCAGGUUGUAGGUCAUCACAGUUCUACCUCAAUCUUUAUUUUCUAUCUAUUCGAAUCUAAGGGAUGCCUUCUCUUUCGCGAGUUAAUUUUUUCUUUUCUAGAUUCGAUUUGUUGUUUGUUUUGUUUUAGUUACUCUUCUUCACUCACUCAAUCUGGUCGUUUCCUUUAUUUUUUGAAGUAUAUUCAAAUUUGUAAUAUAUUGUGUGUUGAAACAAUCAAAUUUUAUACUGACUGGUCAUUUUGAAAAGCUAAUAUAUUUUUCUUCCAUGUAACUAAACAACUAAGAUAUGGAUUUGUGUCUUAUGGAAAAACAAAAUAGGAGGGGCCACAUUUGAAUCUUCAUACAUGUUAAGAACUCAGGGAAAUUCAUGAUCUCACACCAACUAUCAACUAGUUGCCUUUUUAGUCGCAAGCUACUAAUUUAGUUGUUGCGUUUAAAAUCAUUUGUCAUAGCUCAGUGUCAAAUAGAAUGACAAAAUUUAUGGAGCAAGUGUUAACGUUCUUGAAUUUAUCAAACUAAAGUUCUUUACUUUCAUACAAAAUGUUGUUGACAGAGUUCUUUAUGUUCCUGCAAACUGUUUAUAGAGUUCUUUACUUUACUUUUUGUUUUUCUUGUAAUUCAAUAUUCUGGCUGAAGUCAUGCAUUAAUUCUUUGCCCUGUUAUGUUUUUUUUUUGGUGAACUGGAUAAUAUUAUUAGCAAAGAAGCUUAAGUAUCAUUACAAAAUAAGGGAAUAGUAUUAUUCCCUGUAUAUAUGGUAUCAUUGGUUGCUAUCAGAUUACUAUUAUGAGUAGAAAUUUCCCUUGAAUAAGUAGUUCCUAGUUUAUCUGCCCAAACUGCCUCAUUUGCGAACAUCGGAGGAACUUGCAAAAUCCUUGUGUGCUCAAAUAAUCGCUUCUUGGCCCCUUCCUUGGCUAAGAGGUCGGCUACCUUGUUCUACUCUCUAUAGGUAUGCGAGAGUUUCGGAUCUCCCAACAGUUGCAUCAAUGACCUGUUCUUUGCCCUGUUAUUAUCGUAUAUUGAGUUGGUUGGAUUAAGAGUAUGACACAGAGGGUCAACCAGGGCCUAGGAAUGACCACGAAUCAAAAGGGAGGAUCCCUUGCUUCACAUAUAAUAUAUCGGUGAAUGUUAGCAGCGGCGUUUAACAACGCAAAAAGAUAUAGAUAAUGGUUCAGUUCAUGUAUAAUAAAACACCAACACUCAGUUCUAAAUUAGCAAUGGUUCAAAUAGAGUAUGAUUUAAGCCUAGUAAUAUGAAUGGAUAACUUAGGCACCAUGUUUGCUUGAUAAUAAAUUCCAUGUAUAACAACCCUCACAAUAGAAUCUUCAGAUCUCCUUUCUUGCGGAAAGAUCCUAUUAUAUCUUUCACGCCAAAAAGAAUACACAGAAGCUCCCAUUGCAAUCAUGUAAACAUUAGCACCUCGACUCUAAUUCAAGGGCGUUAGAGCUAUCCAUGGAACUCAACUUCUAAUUCAAGGGCUUUAGAGCUAUCCAUGGAACUCAAGUCCUAAUUCAAGGGCUUGUGGUUUCAUCUACUGAGCUAUACCUUAAGAUUAGGCUUAAGUAUACUAAUCUAGAUUGGUAAAUUGUAAUUUAACUAUGCUAUGACACUGUAAUGAACUUACUCGUGAGUAAUAAAGACAUUUAGUUGCUGAAAAAAAAAAGGCGAGAGAUGUAUUUUAUCGAUAGGUUAGAUUAAAAUUACUACAAUAUCAAACAUUUAUCAAGAUAUUUGCUUUUUAUUGGCUUAUGUAACCUUACUGUGUUGAAUAACUUAAAAUAAUAUAGGGAUGAAAACAGCGAGCUAGAGAAGGCACGAGGCAUUAAGAAGGCGAUGGGGUGAGAUACUGAUGCGUCACCAUUUUUUUUAAAAGAUGCAACAUUUUUAACUUGAUACAUUAAUUUCUAAAUUUUCCAUAGUUGCACAACUUGUUCCUUUGUUUCCGACAUUACUGCAGUUGCACAACUUCUUCCUCCAUUUUUGAUAUUAACCAUUGUUGCACAACUCUUCAUCCUCUGUUUUUUUUUUUCUGCACAACUUCUUCUUCCUAUAGUUUUUACACACUUUUUGCACAGCUGUGCACAACAUUUUCUGCCUCUUGUUUUAAUUUUCUGCAUAGCUGCUAAGUUUCUCUGUUUUUUUUACUUUUGCCCAAUUUUUAUUUCUGCCUCUGUUUGGUUUUAGAAACAGAUUAAUUCUUGGUUAAUGCAUCUCAAGGCUUUUCUAAUUAUUGUUUCUUAUAUUUUUGCAGCUUUGUUCAUGUAUCUGGAUAAUACUUGAUGAAAUUUAAACUACUUUUGGGGGUGAGUCGUAUACCUAAUCUAGUGAUAGAUUUACACGUACUAUACAAAUAGUUACUUAUCAUCUUUUCAAAAUUUUGAAUAUUUUGAAGGUUGAAGUUCAAGACAAGAUGCAAGAUUAGAAGAUGCACAACCUCAUUAUUUUGCUACGGAUGUCAUGCAAAACUUGAUAUCAUAGUCUAGCUCUGAAGGUUAUCUAACUAUUUUUUUAAGAAAAUGUUGAAACCAAAAUCAAUGGAUGUAAACUGAUUUUUUGAGAUUAAUUAGAUUUCUAUCUUUCUGGAUACAUAUAUCGAGUUUUUGUAUUGGCACCUUUGGUAGCAAUUUUAUAUUUAUUGAUGAAAUGUA
RNAcentral lists this long non-coding RNA (3912 nucleotides) under Solanum tuberosum (potato). RNAcentral's name for it is "long non-coding RNA (STUB_LNC000702)". The record is from RNAcentral. Lineage: Eukaryota; Viridiplantae; Streptophyta; Magnoliopsida; Solanales; Solanaceae.